CUUACUAUCUAGCCCAUAUUUCUGCAUAUGACUUUACACUAAUCUAAAUAAACUAAAAUAUUUCAACAAUUAAGUAAAGAUGAUUAAAAAAUUAACCGGAGCUAUAAAUUUGUACCGCAAGGGAGAGAUGAAAUAAUAAUGAAAACGCAAGCACAAAAAAGUAGAGUUUUCCCCUCGUACCUUUUGCAUCAUGAUUUAACUAGUCCAACUAAGCAAAAUGAUUUUAAGUUUAACAUCCCGAAACUAGGUGAGCUACUCUAAGGCAGCUUACUGAGCAAACCCGUCUCUGUGGCAAAAGAGUGGGGAGACCUUAAAGUAGAGGUGACAAGCCUAACGAACCUAGUGAUAGCUGGUUACUCAGGAAAAGAAUUUUAGUUCAACCUAAAGCUACAAUAAUCUCUUACUAAAUAAAAGUUUAACUUUAGAGUUAUUCAAAUAGGGCACAGCCUAUUUGAAACAGGAUACAACCUAGACUAAUGGGUAAACACAUGAACCAAAUAAUAAAGUAGGCCUAAAAGCAGCCAUCUACAAUUAAAGCGUCACAGCUACCUUACUUAAUCAACAAAUAACCUAAACAACAAUGAACCCUUAAAUUGUACUGAGUACUUCUAUACACCUAUAGAACCUUUUAUGUUAAAACUAGUAACAAGAAGAAAAUUCUUCUCUCCUAUGUAAAUGUAUGCCAGAAAGAACCCCCCACUGUCAACUAACAAUCUAAAAUAGCAACCUAUUUACAAGAAAACCCUAUUUAUUCAUCUGUUAACCUAACACAAGAACAUACCUAGAAAGAUUAAAAGAAAAAGAAGGAACUCGGCAAAUAUUAGCCCCGCCUGUUUACCAAAAACAUCGCCUCUUGAUUAGAAUAAGAGGUCUUGCCUGCCCAGUGACUUGUUCAACGGCCGCAGUAUCCUAACUGCGCGAAGGUAGCGUAAUCACUUGUUUUUUAAAUUAAGACCAGUAUGAAAGGCGCCACGAGGGUUAAACUGUCUCCUUUUUCUUAUCAGUGAAACUAAUCUUCCCGUGAAGAAGCGGGAAUAAACUUAUAAGACGAGAAGACCCUAUGGAGCUUCAAACAAAAAACACUGCUUAAUCAAUUUUUACAUCUCACCGCAUUUUGAUUUUUAGUUUUAGGUUGGGGUGACCACGGAGAAAACCUACCCUCCAUGAUGAACGGGACUAACCCCUAAUAAAAGAGUCACAACUCUAUUACUCAGUAAACUGACACCCAUUGAUCCAAUAUUUUGAUCAACGAACCAAGUUACCCUAGGGAUAACAGCGCAAUCCGCUUCAAGAGUUCAUAUCGACAGGCGGGUUUACGACCUCGAUGUUGGAUCAGGGUAUCCUAGUGGCGCAACCGCUACUAAGGGUUCGUUUGUUCAACGAUUAAAACCCUACGUGAUCUGAGUUCAGACCGGAGUAAUCCAGGUCGGUUUCUAUCUAUAAAGGGCUUUUUCUAGUACGAAAGGACCGAAAUAGCAUGGCCUAUAUACUAUAUAAGCCAUAUUAAUAAUUUCUGAAUUUUUCUUAAUUAAUAUUUAACCUUUAACAAACCUCAAGAUAAGAAGA
Molecule: ribosomal RNA, 1566 nt
Filed under: Niceforonia dolops
Lineage: Eukaryota; Metazoa; Chordata; Amphibia; Anura; Strabomantidae
Description: Hypodactylus dolops 16S ribosomal RNA
Rfam family: Bacterial large subunit ribosomal RNA
Source: RNAcentral